RNAcentral lists this ribosomal RNA (253 nucleotides) under uncultured bacterium. RNAcentral's name for it is "partial 16S ribosomal RNA". It matches the Rfam family "Bacterial small subunit ribosomal RNA", at positions 524 to 776 of the family's 1533-position model. The record is from RNAcentral.
UACGUAGGGGGCAAGCGUUGUCCGGAAUCAUUGGGCGUAAAGCGCGCGUAGGCGGCCCGGUAAGUCCGCUCUGAAAGUCCAGGGCUCAACCCUGGAAAGCGGGUGGAUACUGCCGGGCUAGAAUCCGGAAGAGGAGAGUGGAAUUCCCGGUGUAGCGGUGAAAUGCGCAGAUAUCGGGAAGAACACCCGUGGCGAAGGCGGCUCUCUGGGACGGUACUGACGCUGAGACGCGAAAGCGUGGGGAGCGAACAGG